This 500-nucleotide ribosomal RNA is filed under the name uncultured bacterium. Its description in RNAcentral is "partial 16S ribosomal RNA". It matches the Rfam family "Bacterial small subunit ribosomal RNA", at positions 30 to 523 of the family's 1533-position model. The record is from RNAcentral.
AUUGAACGCUGGCGGAAUGCUUUACACAUGCAAGUCGAACGGCAGCACGGACUUCGGUCUGGUGGCGGGUGGCGAACGGGUGAGUAAUGUAUCGGAACGUGCCCAGUCGUGGGGGAUAACGUAGUGAAAAUUACGCUAAUACCGCAUACGAUCUAUGGAUGAAAGCGGGGGAUCGCAAGACCUCGCGCGACUGGAGCGGCCGAUAUCAGAUUAGGUAGUUGGUGAGGUAAAGGCCCACCAAGCCAACGAUCUGUAGCUGGUCUGAGAGGACGACCAGCCACACUGGAACUGAGACACGGUCCAGACUCCUACGGGAGGCAGCAGUGGGGAAUUUUGGACAAUGGGCGAAAGCCUGAUCCAGCCAUUCCGCGUGCAGGAUGAAGGCCCUCGGGUUGUAAACUGCUUUUGUACAGAACGAAAAGGUUUCUACUAAUACUAGGAGCUCAUGACGGUACUGUAAGAAUAAGCACCGGCUAACUACGUGCCAGCCGCCGCAGUAA